This 835-nucleotide long non-coding RNA is filed under the name Ananas comosus (pineapple). RNAcentral describes it as "long non-coding RNA (ACOM_LNC034888)". The record is from RNAcentral. Lineage: Eukaryota; Viridiplantae; Streptophyta; Magnoliopsida; Poales; Bromeliaceae.
AUUAAUUAACAUCAAAAUAUUACUUAAAAAUAAAUAAUAAAUAAAUUAUUAAUAAUUAAUUAUAAAUAUUAAUAAUUAUUAAUAAUUAAUUUAUAAAUAAUAAAAUAAUAAUAUCGAUUAUCUAAUUAGUAAUAAUAAUUAUUAUUAAUAAUUAUUAAUAAAUAAUUAUAAAUAAUGAAUUAAUAAUAAUAUCGAUUAUCUAAUUAUUAGUAAUAAUUAUUAAUAAGUAUUAAUUUAUAAUAAUAUCGAUUAUCUAAUUAUUAAUAAUAAUAUUUAUUAAUAAAUAAUAAUAAUUACCAACCGUCCCUAGUGCAAGUGGCAAAGGGCUUGGUGGUUAGUAUCCGAAACCCAAGUUUGAAUCCUUGUUGAUUCACAUUUCCAGCUAAGUUUAUUUCUAAAUGAAAUAAACGAAGCAGAUAACAUGCUACCUUCCUCUAAAAAAAAUAAUAAUAAAUAAUAAUAAUUAUAAAAAUUAUUAAUAAUAAAUUAUAAAUAAUAAUUUAAUAAUAUUAAUUAUCGAAUUAUUAAUAAUUAAUUAUAAAUAACAAAUUAAUAAUAAUAUCGAUUAUCUAAUAAUUAAGAAUAAUAAUUAUUAAUAAUUAAAUAUAAAUAAUAACUUAAUAAUAAUUAUUAUCUAAUUAUUAAUAAUUCAUUAUUUUAUUAUUUAAGCAAUAAAUAAUAAUUGAAAUAUAUUAAUUAGAUUAAUUAAUGAUUUACGAUCAUUAAAAUUAAAUUUAGACUUUAAUUAACCUUGUUCUCAUCCGGGAACAAGCUUGUUCCAAGAAAAGGGUGGAACAGCAGUUCCAGCCUUAUACCAGCUUAUUCCAGAAACUCG